RNAcentral lists this small RNA (91 nucleotides) under Tenacibaculum sp. MAR_2009_124. RNAcentral describes it as "Flavo-1 RNA". It matches the Rfam family "Flavo-1 RNA". Lineage: Bacteria; Pseudomonadati; Bacteroidota; Flavobacteriia; Flavobacteriales; Flavobacteriaceae. The record is from Rfam by way of RNAcentral.
UUUAAGUUGCGUUAGGGAUUGCAGCGGCAUCCUUUUAUUGGUUUGAGUUUGCGAAAAUCCAUAAAAGAUAUAGCGGAAAGCCCGACCCUUG